RNAcentral lists this ribosomal RNA (253 nucleotides) under uncultured bacterium. RNAcentral's name for it is "partial 16S ribosomal RNA". It matches the Rfam family "Bacterial small subunit ribosomal RNA", at positions 524 to 776 of the family's 1533-position model. The record is from RNAcentral.
UACGUAGGGCGCAAGCGUUGUCCGGAUUCACUGGGUGUAAAGGGUGCGUAGGCGGGAAGGUAAGUCCGCGGUGAAAUCUCACAGCUCAACUGUGAAACUGCCGUUGAUACUGCUUUUCUUGAGUUCGGGAGAGGUUGAUGGAAUUCCAGGUGUAGCGGUGAAAUGCGUAGAUAUCUGGAAGAACACCAGUGGCGAAGGCGGUCAACUGGCCCGUAACUGACGCUGAGGCACGAAAGCGUGGGGAGCGAACAGG